AUGAACGCUAGCGACAGGCCUAACACAUGCAAGUCGAGGGGCAGCACAAGGAAGCAAUCUGAGGUGGCGACCGGCGCACGGGUGAGUAACACGUAUGCAACCUGCCUGUAAGCGGGGAAUAACCCGUUGAAAGACGGACUAAUACCGCAUAAUACUAAAUUACUGCAUGGUAAUUUAUUUAAACAUUUAUGGCUUACAGAUGGGCAUGCGCAUGAUUAGCUAGUUGGAGAGGUAACGGCUCCCCAAGGCAACGAUCAUUAGGGGUUCUGAGAGGAAGGUCCCCCACACUGGUACUGAGACACGGACCAGACUCCUACGGGAGGCAGCAGUGAGGAAUAUUGGUCAAUGGACGAGAGUCUGAACCAGCCAAGUCGCGUGCAGGAAGAAUGUCCUAUGGAUUGUAAACUGCUUUUGCAGGGGAAUAAAGUGCAUCACGUGUGAUGUUUUGUAUGUACUCUGCGAAUAAGGAUCGGCUAACUCCGUGCCAGCAGCAGC
This 495-nucleotide ribosomal RNA is filed under the name uncultured bacterium. RNAcentral's name for it is "bacterial SSU rRNA". It matches the Rfam family "Bacterial small subunit ribosomal RNA", at positions 29 to 518 of the family's 1533-position model. The record is from RNAcentral.